This 231-nucleotide ribosomal RNA is filed under the name uncultured bacterium. RNAcentral describes it as "partial 16S ribosomal RNA". It matches the Rfam family "Bacterial small subunit ribosomal RNA", at positions 28 to 259 of the family's 1533-position model. The record is from RNAcentral.
GACGAACGCUGGCGGCGUGCUUAACACAUGCAAGUCGAGCGGUAAGGCCCUUUCGGGGGUACGACGAGCGGCGAACGGGUGAGUAACACGUGGGUGACCUGCCCUCAGCUCUGGGAUAAGCCUGGGAAACCGGGUCUAAUACUGGAUAUGACUCCAUGACGCAUGUUGUGGGGUGGAAAGCCUUGUGCGGCUGAGGAUGGGCCCGCGGCCUAUCAGCUUGUUGGUGGGGGA